Molecule: ribosomal RNA, 106 nt
Filed under: uncultured bacterium
Lineage: Bacteria
Description: partial 16S ribosomal RNA
Rfam family: Bacterial small subunit ribosomal RNA
Source: RNAcentral
CCCGUCACACCAUGAGAGUUGGGAAUACCCGAAGCCUGUGAGCUAACUUUUAGAGGCAGCAGUCGAAGGUAGAAUCAAUGAUUGGGUGAAGUCGUAACAAGGUAAC